RNAcentral lists this long non-coding RNA (211 nucleotides) under Hordeum vulgare. RNAcentral describes it as "long non-coding RNA (HVUL_LNC015964)". The record is from RNAcentral. Lineage: Eukaryota; Viridiplantae; Streptophyta; Magnoliopsida; Poales; Poaceae.
AGAGGCUAGACUGUUUGAGGUCUGGUCGCUACACUCGACACGGCGAUGCAACAACAAAUUCAACAAAGCAAAACACCAAACAGAAAAUUGCAAAAGGCUCAGAUUGGUUCGGAUAGGAUGAACCAACCCUAAUUUUUUGUGGCUUUUCCGUGGACUAUAGGUAUGAAGAACAGAUGCGAUCUAAACUACGAAAAACUGGUAAAAUCUCACC